CCGUGGAGUGAUCUGUCUUGGUUAAUUCCGAUAACGGACGAGACCUUUACCUACUAAAUAGUGAGGCGAACCUCGGUUGGCCGUCACUUCUUAGAGGGACUAUCUGCGUCUAGCAGAUGGAAGUUGAAGGCAAUAACA
This 138-nucleotide ribosomal RNA is filed under the name uncultured eukaryote. RNAcentral describes it as "partial 18S ribosomal RNA". It matches the Rfam family "Eukaryotic small subunit ribosomal RNA", at positions 1299 to 1458 of the family's 1831-position model. The record is from RNAcentral.